Long non-coding RNA from Ostrea edulis (European flat oyster), 932 nucleotides. RefSeq lists it as uncharacterized. Lineage: Eukaryota; Metazoa; Mollusca; Bivalvia; Ostreida; Ostreidae. The record is from RefSeq and is a predicted model, not a curated record. The transcript has 2 exons.
AAAAUAAUAAUAAUAACUAGUGAUCCUAAUUGUUCGCGAACAAUUAGAGGGCUUCCCACCUUCUAGCGGUUUUUCAGUAGUGUUGAAAUGCUAAAAGCACCCCCACCCUACCCCACCCCACCCUCACCAAAAAAAAAAAAAAAAAUGGAUUUGGCUAGAAAAGAAAUUCAAAUUUGCCGCCUUGAGUGUUGUAGUGUUGGAGAUUAAGGCCUUGGUUUCGCACGAUAGUACCGGUCAAAUAUUUGGAAAAAAAGGGUGCGAGUGUUGCAUAGCCGGCACAUAUCAGGUAAAAGUGUAAUGGGACUUGUGCAGGUGUUUGGGGUGACUUUAGACCUGUUAGAUGUGAUAUUUGGAGGUGCAAAGAAACCGGAUGUGCCAUUUCCCUAGAUUGUAGUAACUGCUGGUGCAUGCUGGGAGUCUAUACAAGCCUCAUGUUGUCAGAUGUUGUGAAGAUGCACUGGAUUUGACCGUGUGUGUUGUGGAUUGUGGAAUUGAAUAUACAGUUUGUAAUGGCUCAUCCUAUGUGUUCUAAUUCACGGAGACAAUGUCUUUCAGUCAUUUCACCCAAGGAGGCAUGCGUAUACGGAUUGAUAGGCUUUGACAACAAACAACCAAAAUGGCGGCCGGUGAAUUAGAAAGUGUCUGAGUGCAUGUAGGAUAUCUGAACGGAGAAUAGGAGUACUGCAUCCCAUCUGAUCCUGCAGUCAUUUCACCCAAGGAGGCAUGCAUAUACGGAUUUAUAGGCUUUGACAACAAACAACCAAAAUGGCGGCCGGUGAAUUAGAAAGUGUCUGAGUGCAUGUAGGAUAUCUGAACGGAGAAUUAGGAGUACUGCAUCCCAUCUGAUCCUGCAGGUAAGUGUUUAUUUGUUUACAAUGACAGUCAGGAUGGAAUGUCAAUGAGUUCAACUGUCAAGUAAAGUUGCAUCAUGA